RNAcentral lists this transfer RNA (71 nucleotides) under Loxodonta africana (African savanna elephant). It matches the Rfam family "tRNA". From Rfam's summary of the family: Transfer RNA (tRNA) molecules are approximately 80 nucleotides in length. Their secondary structure includes four short double-helical elements and three loops (D, anti-codon, and T loops). The record is from Rfam by way of RNAcentral. Lineage: Eukaryota; Metazoa; Chordata; Mammalia; Proboscidea; Elephantidae.
GCAUUGGUGGCUCAGUGGUAGAACUCUGCCCUUCCGUGAAGAAGACCCAGGUUUGAUUCCCAGCCAAUGCA